Phycicoccus sp. Soil748 is the source of this 400-nucleotide non-coding RNA. The record is from Rfam. Lineage: Bacteria; Bacillati; Actinomycetota; Actinomycetes; Micrococcales; Intrasporangiaceae.
UGAGUCGGCCAGGCGGUCGCGUCGGUGGGCAACCACCGCCGAGGAACGUCCGGGCUCCACAGGGCAGGGUGGUGGCCAACAGCCACCCGGGGUGACCCGCGGGACAGUGCCACAGAGAACAGACCGCCACGGUGGACCACGCAGCCCUCGGGCCGCGCAGGCACCGUGGUAAGGGUGAAACGGUGGUGUAAGAGACCACCAGCGGGCCAGGUGACUGGCCCGGCUAGGUAAACCCCACCCGGAGCAAGCUCAGACAGUGUGCGUUCGAGGGCGGCCCGCCCGAGCACACGGGUAGAGCGCUGGAGGCAGUCGGCAACGGCUGUCGUAGAUGGAUGACCGUCACCGGGAGCCGGGCAACCAGCUCCCGGGACAGAACCCGGCGUAUCGGUCGACUCAUCCC